GAUGAACGCUGGCGGCGUGCCUAAUACAUGCAAGUCGAGCGGACCGGAUUGGGGCUUGCCUUGAUUCGGUCAGCGGCGGACGGGUGAGUAACACGUGGGCAACCUGCCCGCAAGACCGGGAUAACUCCGGGAAACCGGAGCUAAUACCGGAUAACACCGAAGACCGCAUGGUCUUCGGUUGAAAGGCGGCCUUUGGGCUGUCACUUGCGGAUGGGCCCGCGGCGCAUUAGCUAGUUGGUGAGGUAACGGCUCACCAAGGCGACGAUGCGUAGCCGGCCUGAGAGGGUGACCGGCCACACUGGGACUGAGACACGGCCCAGACUCCUACGGGAGGCAGCAGUAGGGAAUCUUCCGCAAUGGGCGAAAGCCUGACGGAGCGACGCCGCGUGAGCGAAGAAGGCCUUCGGGUCGUAAAGCUCUGUUGUGAGGGACGAAGGAGCGUCGUUCGAAGAGGGCGGCGCGGUGACGGUACCUCACGAGAAAGCCCCGGCUAACUACGUG
RNAcentral lists this ribosomal RNA (501 nucleotides) under uncultured bacterium. Its description in RNAcentral is "partial 16S ribosomal RNA". It matches the Rfam family "Bacterial small subunit ribosomal RNA", at positions 28 to 507 of the family's 1533-position model. The record is from RNAcentral.